AGCAGCCGCGGUAAUUCCAGCUCCAAUAGCGUAUAUUAAAGUUGCUGCAGUUAAAAGCUCGUAGUUGAAUUUCGGGACUAAUAUGUCGGUCGUGCCUCGGUACGUACUGGUUUAUUGGUUUCUCCUUUCUGAAGAACCAUGAUGUCAUUUAUUUGGUGUCGUGGGGAAUCAGGACUGUUACUUUGAAAAAUUAGAGUGUUUAAAGCAGGCUCACGCUUGAAUACAUUAGCAUGGAAUAAUGAAAUAGGACGUUUGAUUCUAUUUUGUUGGUUUCUAGGAUCGACGUAAUGAUUAAUAGGGAUAGUUGGGGGCAUUAGUAUUCAAUUGUCAGAGGUGAAAUUCUUGGAUUUAUUGAAGACUAACUACUGCGAAAGCAUUUGCCAAGGAUGUUUUCAUUAAUCAAGAACGAAAGUUAGGGAUCGAAGACGAUCAGAUACCGUCGUAGUCUUAACCAUAAACUAUGCCGACUAGGGAUCGGAUGAUGUUAAUUUUUAAUGUACUCAUUCGGCGCCUUAACC
This 518-nucleotide unclassified non-coding RNA is filed under the name uncultured Glomus. RNAcentral describes it as "SSU rRNA". It matches the Rfam family "Eukaryotic small subunit ribosomal RNA", at positions 569 to 1093 of the family's 1831-position model. Lineage: Eukaryota; Fungi; Glomeromycota; Glomeromycetes; Glomerales; Glomeraceae. The record is from RNAcentral.